GUCGAACGCAGUAGCAAUACUGAGUGGCAGACGGGUGAGUAACAUGUGGGAAUCUGCCUUGUGGUUCAGGACAACAUUGGGAAACUGAUGCUAAUACUGGAUAAGCCCUUACGGGGAAAGUUUUAAUGCCAUAAGAUGAGCCCGCAUUUGAUUAGUUAGUUGGUGAGGUAAUGGCUCACCAAGACAAUGAUCAAUAGCUGAUCUGAGAGGAUGAUCAGCCACACUGGGACUGAGACACGGCCCAGACUCCUACGGGAGGCAGCAGUGGGGAAUCUUGCACAAUGGAGGAAACUCUGAUGCAGCGAUGCCGCGUGAGUGAAGAAGGCCUUUGGGUUGUAAAGCUCUUUUGUAGGGGAAGAUAAUGACUGUACCCUAAGAAUAAGGUCCGGCUAACUUCGUGCCAGCAGCCGCGGUAAUACGAAGGGACCUAGCGUAGUUCGGAAUUACUGGGCGUAAAGCGCGCGUAGGCCGUUGAGUUAGUUAAUUGUGAAAUCCCAAAGCUUAACUUUGGAACUGCAAUUAAAACUGCUCGACUAGAGUUUGAUAGAGGAAAGCGGAAUACAUAGUGUAGAGGUGAAAUUCGUAGAUAUUAUGUAGAACACCAGUUGCGAAGGCGGCUUUCUGGAUCAACACUGACGCUGAGGCGCGAAAGUAUGGGUAGCAAAGAGGAUUAGAUACCCUCGUAGUCCAUACCAUAAACGAUGAUUGCUAGAUGUUGGAAAUUUAUUUUCAGUAUCGCAGCUAACGCAUUAAG
RNAcentral lists this ribosomal RNA (754 nucleotides) under alpha proteobacterium SCGC AAA041-E08. RNAcentral describes it as "bacterial SSU rRNA". It matches the Rfam family "Bacterial small subunit ribosomal RNA", at positions 61 to 864 of the family's 1533-position model. The record is from RNAcentral. Lineage: Bacteria; Pseudomonadati; Pseudomonadota; Alphaproteobacteria.